This 1732-nucleotide unclassified non-coding RNA is filed under the name uncultured fungus. RNAcentral's name for it is "sequence contains 18S rRNA gene, ITS1, 5.8S rRNA gene, ITS2, 28S rRNA gene". The stretch from base 615 to 1732 matches the Rfam family "Eukaryotic large subunit ribosomal RNA", at positions 1 to 961 of the family's 3401-position model. The record is from RNAcentral. Lineage: Eukaryota; Fungi.
GGAAGGAUCAUUAACAAAUGUAAUCCAAUUACCAACCACACUGUGCACUGUUAUCGUAUGCUUUGGUAGGGAGUGAAAUGGCGGGAGCCUCCGGGCGCCAGUCUUUCGAUCUGCCAGAGUUUUUUACAUACUAAACAAACAAACGUCUUAUUAUCUGACUGAACUUCAUUUAAACAAAUGAAAAUACAACUUUUAACAAUGGAUCUCUUGGCUCUUGCAUCGAUGAAGAACGCAGCGAAUUGCGAAAAGUAAUGUGAAUUGCAGAAUUCCGUGAAUCAUCGAAUCUUUGAACGCACAUUGCGCUCUCUGGUAUUCCGGAGAGCAUGCCUGUUUGAGUAUCAGUUAACCAUUCUCAAGCUACACUAUUCUUAGGAGUUGUGUGGCGUGGAACUGAGUGUUCCCGGUAAGAGUGCCUCGCGGCGCUGUAACUGGGAGACUUGAAACUGAUCUCGCGGGAGCAGUGGUCAUUAAGGAUCAGCUCGUUGCAGGUGUACUAGUUGGAGGCGUCGCAAGACGUUUUCAUUCUUAGCACCAAUACGUAACGUUCAGAUCUGACAACUGUCACCGACGAACGCAGGAACUUGGAGGAAGGCGCAAGCCCGACUCUUAAUUCUUGAUCUCAAAUCAGGUAGGAUUACCCGCUGAACUUAAGCAUAUCAAUAAGCGGAGGAAAAGAAACUAACAAGGAUUCCCCUAGUAACGGCGAGUGAAGCGGGAAGAGCUCAAAUUUAAAAUCUGUAAGGUUCAACCUUGCCGAGUUGUAGUUUGAAGAAGUGUUUUCCGCGGCGGCUGCAGUACAAAUCCUUUGGAACAGGGUAUCAGAGAGGGUGAGAAUCCCGUCUUUGACUGCAGACUAGUUGCACUGUGAUACACUUUCUAAGAGUCGAGUUGUUUGGGAAUGCAGCUCAAAAUGGGUGGUAAAUUUCAUCUAAAGCUAAAUAUUGGCAAGAGACCGAUAGCGAACAAGUACCGUGAGGGAAAGAUGAAAAGAACUUUGAAAAGAGAGUUAAAUAGUACGUGAAAUUGUUAAAAGGGAAACGCUUGAAGUCAGUGUUGCCGGCGGAAAAUCAGCUUCAGACUGGCGACUUGCGCAGGUGGAGGGAGUGUUAAAACCCCUUGCUUGCGUACAGGAGUCUGGAUGGAGUGCACUUUUCAGUCGGCAGGUCAACAUCAAUUUCAGCCGGUGGAAAAAAGCUAGCGGAACGUAGGUUGGAGCAAUUCAACUGUUAUAGCCGCCAGCGGAUACACUGGGUGGGAUUGAGGACAGCAGUGCAGGCCAUUAUGGCGGAAGCUCUGCGUCUUUCUCCGGGGGGCAUGUCAAGACAGCUUGCUGACUUGGUGUGUACACUCUUGGGAACGGCGUGGAUGUACUUCUCCUGCACUAAGGAUGUUGACGAAAUGGCUUUAAACGACCCGUCUUGAAACACGGACCAAGGAGUCUAACAAAUAUGCGAGUAUUUGGGUGGCAAACCCAUAUGCGCAAUGAAAGUGAAUGUAGGUGGGAUCUCACGCUUCGGCGAGGGUGCACCAUCGACCGAUCUGGAUUAUUUUAUGAUAGAUUUGAGUAAGAGCAUAUCUGUUGGGACCCGAAAGAUGGUGAACUAUGCCUGAAUAGGGUGAAGCCAGAGGAAACUCUGGUGGAGGCUCGUAGCGAUUCUGACGUGCAAAUCGAUCGUCAAAUUUGGGUAUAGGGGCGAAAGACUAAUCGAACCAUCUAGUAGCUGGUUCCUGC